UACUAGAGUAGCACUCGCAUAUCAAUAAGCGGAGGAAAAGAAACUAACAAGGAUUCCCCUAGUAACGGCGAGUGAAGCGGGAAGAGCUCAAAUUUGAAAUCUUAAAGGGUUUCCCUUUACGAAUUGUAGUUUAAAGAAGUGUUUUCUGUUGAGGUUUUGGUAAAAGUUCUUUGGAAUAGGACAUCAUAGAGGGUGAGAAUCCCGUAUUUGACCUUUACUUUCAACUUUGUGAUACACUUUCAAAGAGUCGGAUUGUUUGGGAAUGCAGUCCAAAAUGGGUGGUAAAUUUCAUCUAAAGCUAAAUAUUGGCGAGAGACCGAUAGCGAACAAGUACCGUGAGGGAAAGAUGAAAAGAACUUUGAAAAGAGAGUUAAACAGUACGUGAAAUUGUCAAAAGGGAAGCGUUUGACACCAGUGUUGUUUUUCUGAAAAUCAAUUAAAGAACUGUUUAUGCUAAGUUGUUUAGACUUUAUCAGCUAACUGUUUAGUUUUGAGCUUUUCUUUAAUGCACUUUUCAGUUAACAAGUCAACAUCAAUUUCUUUUGCUGUAAAAAAGCUUGAGGAAGGUGGCUUGAGAUUCGUCUUAAGUGUUUAUAGCCUCUUGCCUAUGCAGUCGGAGAGAUUGAGGUCUGCAGCGUAGAUCCUUCGGGGCUAAAUGCAUUUGUGCUAAGUUAUAGCAUUUUAUAGACAACUUGUUGACUAUGAUUUGUCUUGUAGGCUUACUCGCUUAUGUUAUUUUACCUACGCUUAGGAUGUUGAUCUCUCACAGUCGAGC
Molecule: ribosomal RNA, 775 nt
Filed under: uncultured Neocallimastigales
Lineage: Eukaryota; Fungi; Neocallimastigomycota; Neocallimastigomycetes; Neocallimastigales
Description: partial large subunit ribosomal RNA
Rfam family: Eukaryotic large subunit ribosomal RNA
Source: RNAcentral